This 468-nucleotide ribosomal RNA is filed under the name uncultured bacterium. Its description in RNAcentral is "partial 16S ribosomal RNA". It matches the Rfam family "Bacterial small subunit ribosomal RNA", at positions 28 to 507 of the family's 1533-position model. The record is from RNAcentral.
GACGAACGCUGGCGGCGUGCUUAACACAUGCAAGUCGAGCGGAAAGGCCCUGCUUUUGUGGGGUUGCUGAGUCGGGGACGGGGGAAGUACCUGGGAAUUAACUUGCCCUUGCCUUUGGAUAACCUUAAGAAACUGGGGCUAAUACCCGAUUAGUGCCUCUGUUUGAUGGGGGGGGUUGGAAAGGUUCCGCGGUUUGGGGUCGACUUGGGGCUUAUUCGCUUGUUGGUUGGGGUGUGGCCUACCAAAGCCUUGACGGGUUGCCGGCCUGGGAGGGUGACCGGCCACAUGGGGCCUAAGGUACGGCCCAGACGCCUACGGGGGGCAACAGUGGGGAAUAUUGCACAAUGGGCGGAAGCCUGAUGCAGCAACGCCGCGUGCGGAAUGACGGCCUUCGGGUUGUAAACCGCUUUCGCCUGUGACGAAGCGUGAGUGACGGUAAUGGGUAAAGAAGCACCGGCUAACUACGUG